UUCUCCCAACAGGAAUGAGGUGAUGUGAAUGUUAUGGGGUUAGCAGAGUUGAUGCUUUGAGGUCUGUUCAGCUCUGCUAUAUAAUGAUGGCCAGAUCUCUACUACGAUCUGAGGAUACGUAAAAACGUUGGUUGAUGUCACAGAGAAGAAAGAUCUGAAUACAUCCCGUGUGUAACGGUAUCGUAAACAUGAUCCCAAAUGAAUUUGUCGUCUGUGGUUCAUUUUGGGUUUUAGCUGCCAUCCUGUGGGUAAUGGGCUCCACAUGGCAGGUGUUCAUGAAAAAUGGAAUGCAUCUUUCACAAACAGUUGCAAAAGAAAAUAUAUUUGGCAUUUUGGUUGAUAUAGAAGGUGUUUGUGACGGGAUGCAUAAAGAAAAACUACUAACCGAUCAAAAUCAGAUGGGAGGAGGCCAAGCCAUCUUAUCGCUGGAACUGUGAGACGAUGGGCUUCAAAUGACAUAGACUGAAACAUGAAAUAACAACUGUUUGCUUAGUACUAGUUAUAUUUGCCUUUCCUAAACAGAAAAGUAAUACAGAAUAAAGAUUUCAAGCAAUAUUA
This is a long non-coding RNA of Varanus komodoensis (Komodo dragon), 558 nucleotides long. RefSeq lists it as uncharacterized. NCBI's taxonomy places the organism in Eukaryota, Metazoa, Chordata, Lepidosauria, Squamata, Varanidae. The transcript is spliced from 2 exons. The record is from RefSeq and is a predicted model, not a curated record.